UACGAAGGGGGCUAGCGUUGUUCGGAUUUACUGGGCGUAAAGGGCGCGUAGGCGGCCACCGCAAGUCGACUGUGAAAUCUCCGGGCUUAACCCGGAAAGGUCAGCCGAUACUGCGGGGCUAGAGUGCAGAAGGGGCAACUGGAAUUCUCGGUGUAGCGGUGAAAUUCGUAGAUAUCGGGAGGAACACCAGUGGCGAAGGCGGCGACCUGGGCCAAUAUUGACGCUGAGGUGCGAAAGCGUGGGGAGCAAACAGG
This 254-nucleotide ribosomal RNA is filed under the name uncultured bacterium. Its description in RNAcentral is "partial 16S ribosomal RNA". It matches the Rfam family "Bacterial small subunit ribosomal RNA", at positions 524 to 776 of the family's 1533-position model. The record is from RNAcentral.